RNAcentral lists this ribosomal RNA (1704 nucleotides) under Triticum aestivum (bread wheat). RNAcentral describes it as "partial small subunit ribosomal RNA". The record is from RNAcentral. Lineage: Eukaryota; Viridiplantae; Streptophyta; Magnoliopsida; Poales; Poaceae.
AUGGCCGCAACCAAUGCAAACACACAGUUGAUCAUGCAAAUUCUCCAAGAGCGUAAUCAAGGCAACCAAGGGAACCAAGGCAACAAUCAGAAUCACUUUGCUACACUCAACCAGUUCCUUGCUAACGCGCCAAAGACUUUCAGCAAUUGUGUUGAGGCAACCGAUGCUGACGAUUGGCUCGUGGAUCUGUGCAAGCAUUUCGAGUGCAGUAACGUCAGGCCUGAGGACUUUGUCAAGUUCGCUUCCUUCCAACUCAAAGAUCAAGCUGCAGAAUGGUUCCAGCAGUACAAGGAUUCUAGAGGUGGACGUGUUAUCACUUGGGAUGAAUUCCGUCAAGAUUUCAGAGCUCAUCAUAUUCCUCAGAGCGUGGUUGAAAGCAAGCGUGAGGAAUUCCGCAACCUGAAGCAAGGCUCUUUGUCUGUCUAUGACUACAACAAUUUGUUUCAGAAGCUCGCCCGCUUUGCCAAGCAGGACGUCCCUGAUGAGAAGAGCAUGAUAUACCAGUUCAGGGGUGGUCUCAGAGAAGAAAUUCAGCUAGCUCUUGUUCUCUUUGAGCCCUUGAGGUACGAUGAGUUCUACAACAUGGCACUGAAGCAAGAGGCCGCUCAGUUGAGGUGUGAUGCUUCCAAGAAGCGAGUCAGAGAUGCUACUCCUUCUUCCUCUACUCAAGUGGCCAAGCAGCAGAAGUAUUGGCUUCCUCCUCCUCCGUUCCGUCAGCCGUAUCAGCAGAAGAGCAAAGGUGGCAGUGGAUCUUCCCACCCACCCAACCCUGGCUUUCAGAACAAGACUUCGUCGCAAGCUCCAAGAUCGAGUGCUCCGUAUCACCGUCCGCUUUCGGAGGUCACGUGCAACAAGUGCCAACAGAAGGGUCACUAUGCCAACAAGUGUCUCAAUCAGAGGCGUCUUCCUCCUCCUCCUCCUCCUGUGAGAUCGGCAAGUACAACUGUGGUCAAGCAUAACCCCAAGCACGCUAAGGUCAACUUGCUGAAUGCAGCUCAGGCAGAGGACUCAUCAGAUGUCAUCAUGGGUAACUUUCCAGUUAACUCUUUUCCCGCAAAAGUUCUUUUUGACACUGGUGCAUCGCAUUGUUUCAUGUCAAGAUCAUUUGUUUCCACGCAUGACUUCGUUUCACAAAUGUUGGGUAAACCUAUGGGAGUGGUUUCUCCGGCUAAGUCUAUGAGGGCUACUUCAAUAGUCCCGGAUGUUUCUAUCAUGUUGGGUGACUUCAAGUUUCUGGCUUCUCCAAUGGUUCUGGGUAACUCGGAUAUUGAUCUUAUUCUCGGGAUGGAUUGGCUUUCUAAGCACAAGGCUCAGCUUGAUUGUGCAGCCAGGCAGAUUCAAUUGACUCAUUCGUCUGAGGAUGUAAUUGUGUUUGCCUCUCGUGAUGAUACCAUCCGUCUGUUUUCUCUCAAUGAGAAGGGUGAACUCGAUGCCAUCUUGCAAAUUCCAGUCGUUUGCGAAUAUCAAGACGUCUUUCCAGAAGAGCUUCCAGGAAUGCCUCCGCACCGGCCAGUUGAAUUCGUUAUUGAUCUUGAGCCUGGCACGGAACCAGUGUGCAAGCGUCCUUACAAGCUCGGACCUAAAGAGUUGAAGGAGCUGAAGAAGCAACUCGAUAUUCAAGAGAGAAUGGGUCUCAUCCGGCCUAGUUCUUCUCCGUGGGGUUGUGGUGUUCUUUUUGUGAAGAAGAAGGAUGGAACAUACUGA